GUGCACUUUAUUGUGGCUCAGAACUUUUUUUCAUUUUUACCCCAAGACUUGUUUGUGUGGCAUCUUUGCCAUUGCACUCAGGUAUACGUAACAUAAAAGUGUUACAUUACCCCCUCCCCUGAUAUUUUCUUUUUUUUUGUAUUAUUAAACACAAGUGGAAUUAAGAAUGUAACAUAUAUUAUUUUUAAAU
This 190-nucleotide unclassified non-coding RNA is filed under the name Uromyces sp. H92014. RNAcentral describes it as "ITS1". The record is from RNAcentral. Lineage: Eukaryota; Fungi; Basidiomycota; Pucciniomycetes; Pucciniales; Pucciniaceae.